Molecule: non-coding RNA, 378 nt
Organism: Acomys russatus (golden spiny mouse)
Lineage: Eukaryota; Metazoa; Chordata; Mammalia; Rodentia; Muridae
Source: the annotation of a RefSeq genome assembly
AUGGGAUGGAGCUGGAUCCUCUUCCUAUUGGCAGCAUCUAUAGGUGUACAUUCUCAGGUCCAGCUGCAGCAGUCCGAGGCUGAGCUGAGGCAGACUGGGUCCUCAGUGAAAGUGUCCUGCAAGGCUUCUGGCUACCCCUUCACCAACUACUAUAUACACUGGGCGAAGGAGAGCACUGUGCAGGGACUGGAGUGGAUUGGAUAUAUUGGUUGUGGAGGUGGUGGUACUAGCUACAAUCAGAAGUUCCGGGGCAAGGCCACACUGACUGUAGAUGCAUCCUCCAGCAUCGUGUACAUGGAGCUCAGGAGCCUGACAUCUGAGGACUCUUCAGUCUAUUACUGUGUGAGACAAGCACCCACUGCUGCAACCACAUCCUGA